GAUGAACGCUGGCGGCGUGCCUAAUACAUGCAAGUCGAGCGAACAGACGAGGAGCUUGCUCCUUCGACGUUAGCGGCGGACGGGUGAGUAACACGUAGGUAACCUACCUAUAAGACUGGGAUAACUUCGGGAAACCGGAGCUAAUACCGGAUAAUAUUUCGAACCGCAUGGUUCGAUAGUGAAAGAUGGCUUUGCUAUCACUUAUAGAUGGACCUGCGCCGUAUUAGCUAGUUGGUAAGGUAACGGCUUACCAAGGCAACGAUACGUAGCCGACCUGAGAGGGUGAUCGGCCACACUGGAACUGAGACACGGUCCAGACUCCUACGGGAGGCAGCAGUAGGGAAUCUUCCGCAAUGGGCGAAAGCCUGACGGAGCAAAGCCGCGUGAGUGAUGAAGGUCUUCGGAUCGUAAAACUCUGUUAUUAGGGAAGAACAAACGUGUAAGUAACUGUGCACGUCUUGACGGUACCUAAUCAGAAAGCCACGGCUAACUACGUG
This 497-nucleotide ribosomal RNA is filed under the name uncultured bacterium. RNAcentral's name for it is "partial 16S ribosomal RNA". It matches the Rfam family "Bacterial small subunit ribosomal RNA", at positions 28 to 507 of the family's 1533-position model. The record is from RNAcentral.